GAUGAAGAACGCAGCGAAAUGCGAUAAGUAGUGUGAAUUGCAGAAUUCAGUGAAUCAUCGAAUCUUUGAACGCACAUUGCGCCCCUUGGUAUUCCGGGGGGCAUGCCUGUUCGAGCGUCAUUUCAACCCUCAAGCUCUGCUUGGUAUUGGGCUCCGUCCUCCUCGGACGCGCCUCAAAGACCUCGGCGGUGGCGUCUUGCCUCAAGCGUAGUAGAAACACCUCGCUUUGAAGUGCAUGGCGUCGCCCGCCGGACGAAACCUUUUGUAUUUUCUCAAAGGUUGACCUCGGAUCAGGUAGGGAUACCCGCUGAACUUAAGCAUAUCAAUAAGCGGAGGA
RNAcentral lists this unclassified non-coding RNA (337 nucleotides) under soil metagenome. Its description in RNAcentral is "partial contains 5.8S ribosomal RNA, internal transcribed spacer 2, and large subunit ribosomal RNA". The stretch from base 1 to 120 matches the Rfam family "5.8S ribosomal RNA", at positions 35 to 154 of the family's 154-position model. The record is from RNAcentral.